Molecule: ribosomal RNA, 407 nt
Filed under: uncultured bacterium
Lineage: Bacteria
Description: partial 16S ribosomal RNA
Rfam family: Bacterial small subunit ribosomal RNA
Source: RNAcentral
AUUGAACGCUGGCGGCAGGCCUAACACAUGCAAGUCGAACGAGUGGCGGACGGGUGAGUAAUGUCUGGGAAACUGCCCGAUGGAGGGGGAUAACUACUGGAAACGGUAGCUAAUACCGCAUACCAUCGGAUGUGCCCAGAUGGGAUUAGCUAGUAGGUGGGGUAAAGGCUCACCUAGGCGACGAUCCCUACCUGGUCUGAGAGGAUGACCAGCCAAAAUGGAACUGGGACACGGUCCAGAAUCCGACGGGAGGGCGCAGUGGGGAAGAUUUCAAAAUGGGCGCAAGCAUGAUGCAGCCAUGCCGGGGGUAUGAAGAAGGCCUUCGGGUUGUAAAGGACUUUCAGCGGGGAGGCGUUACCCGCAGAAGAAGCACCCGCUAACUCCGUGCCAGCCGCCGCGGUAAUAUC